This is a long non-coding RNA of Bufo gargarizans (Asiatic toad), 571 nucleotides long. RefSeq lists it as uncharacterized. The transcript has 4 exons. The record is from RefSeq and is a predicted model, not a curated record. Lineage: Eukaryota; Metazoa; Chordata; Amphibia; Anura; Bufonidae.
GGAGGGGGUACCUCCCAUGACCUCCUGCGCCCUGUCUUGCGGGAUGACGUGGCGCAGGAGGGCACAGUGUGACUGCCUGCGCCAGGAUGCUGGAACUCAGGCCAUAGGCAAAGACAGAGAGAGAAUUACAGAAACGAGAUAUGACUGGAAGAAAUAAUCAUUGAGGUCUGAUCUCCGAAAGGAGAAGAUGAGGAAUGAGAACAUCUACAUCAGAGGAGACGUCACUGGAUGUAAGAGGAUUACAGGAGUCUUGUAUGGUGCAACUUUCAUCAAAAUACAUCCUCUGCGAUCCUAGUCUCACCUCACUAUCCCCUAGCCAGAGAUGCCAUGUCCAGAAGCUAUUGUUCUAAAUUACCAGGUCACAAGUAAGUCGCAAUCUCACUCCAGGAGGAGGGUGGAGUAUGGAAAGUGGAGAAGUUGUUCCAGACAAGAGUAUUAGCUUUAAGGAUGAGCCAAAUAUAUCAAACAACCUGUGACAUUGUGUGAUAAAUGUGGCAUAGAGUACUCCAACACAGACUCAAGCAAAACUGACUUCAAAUAUUCUCCUCAUAAUAAAUUCCCCCUAUGUACA